GACGAACGCUGGCGGCGUGCUUAACACAUGCAAGUCGAACGGAAAGGCCCUGCUUUUGUGGGGGGCUCGAGUGGCGAACGGGUGAGUAACACGUGAGUAACUUGCCUGUGGCUGGGGGAUGACUGGAGGAAACCGGGUCUAAUACCGGAUAGGAGCUCCGGCUGAAUGGUGGGGGCUGGAAAGUUUCGGCGGUUGGGUAUGGACUCGCGGCUUAUCAGCUUGUGGGUGGGGUAGGGGCUUACCAAGGCUUUGACGGGUAGCCGGCCUGAGAGGGUGACCGGCCACAUUGGGACUGAGAUACGGCCCAGACUCCUACGGGAGACAGCAGUGGGGAAUAUUGCACAAUGGGCGGAAGCCUGAUGCAGCAACGCCGCGUGCGGGAUGACGGCCUUCGGGUUGUAAACCGCUUUCGCCUGUGACGAAGCGUGAGUGACGGUAAUGGGUAAAGAAGCACCGGCUAACUACGUG
RNAcentral lists this ribosomal RNA (468 nucleotides) under uncultured bacterium. Its description in RNAcentral is "partial 16S ribosomal RNA". It matches the Rfam family "Bacterial small subunit ribosomal RNA", at positions 28 to 507 of the family's 1533-position model. The record is from RNAcentral.